RNAcentral lists this ribosomal RNA (720 nucleotides) under Triticum aestivum (bread wheat). RNAcentral's name for it is "partial small subunit ribosomal RNA". Lineage: Eukaryota; Viridiplantae; Streptophyta; Magnoliopsida; Poales; Poaceae. The record is from RNAcentral.
UCCAAGGCCGAAAACAAUGCGGCCGUGGAACGCACCGAGCGAGAGAAGCAGGAGGCGCGGGUGGAAGAGGUGCGGCAAGAGCUCCAGGUUCUUGUGGAAAAACACGAGAGUUUGGAGCGUGACUCGAAGACUCGAGAGUCCGAGCUCGCCCUGGCUCUUGAGAGUGCCAAAGCCGCUAAGGCCGAAGCCCAAAAAGCCCUCCAGGAAAUUGAGACAAUAAAGAAGAUAGCAGCGGGAGCAGUCGCAGAUCUGCCCCGCAGUGUGUGCGAUGCUACCGCAUUCUACUGGGCUGAGGAAGGGAGCUCGACGAAGAAGGUAUUCUGGUCUCAGUAUGCUGAGGCCGGACAUCCGGUGCCCCUGAGCGACCAGCUGAAGCAGCUGGUCGAGCUCCACAAGGUGGCCGAACAGGCCAUGAAGGGCCUCAUAGUUCGGCUGUGGCCUAAAGAAGCCAUGACUAGGAGCUACUUCAGUCUGGUGCGGCGGCUGGUGGACGCCUGUCCGUGGAUUGAAGUCAUCAAGCAUUCCGUCUGCAUUGAAGGUGCCCGUCGGGCCCUUGCUCGCGCUAAAGUGCACUGGGGCAAGAUGGACGCCGAGAAGCUUGUGACGGACGCGCCACCGCCGGUCAAGGAGUAUCGCACGCCCGAGAUGUACUAUAAGGGUGUCCUGAAGGGUGCCCGCCUUAUAGCGGGUGAAUGCUCCAAAGAUGUAAUUUUUGAGUAG